This 253-nucleotide ribosomal RNA is filed under the name uncultured bacterium. RNAcentral describes it as "partial 16S ribosomal RNA". It matches the Rfam family "Bacterial small subunit ribosomal RNA", at positions 524 to 776 of the family's 1533-position model. The record is from RNAcentral.
GACGUAGGGGGCCAGCGUUGUUCGGAAUUACUGGGUGUAAAGGGUUCGUAGGCGGUGUGGCAAGUCGGGAGUGAAAUCUCUGGGCUCAACUCAGAGACUGCUUCCGAAACUGCUGUGCUGGAGUGUGGGAGAGGCGCGUGGAAUUGCAGGUGUAGCGGUGAAAUGCGUAGAUAUCAGGAGGAACACCAAUAGCGAAGGCAGCUCGCUGGGACGGUACUGACGCUAAGGCGCGAAAGCGUGGGGAGCGAACAGG